AGGUGCAUUUUACCUGCAAUAGUGCCACAUCUACAGAAUAAAACUGGGACUUUGCAGAGAUCAGCACGGCCCCUGUGCAAGGAUGACAUGCAAAUUCAUGAGGCAGUCCAUAUUUUU
This 117-nucleotide small nuclear RNA is filed under the name Canis lupus dingo (dingo). Lineage: Eukaryota; Metazoa; Chordata; Mammalia; Carnivora; Canidae. The record is from RNAcentral.